Long non-coding RNA from Hipposideros armiger (great roundleaf bat), 1047 nucleotides. RefSeq lists it as uncharacterized. The record is from RefSeq and is a predicted model, not a curated record. The transcript has 4 exons. Lineage: Eukaryota; Metazoa; Chordata; Mammalia; Chiroptera; Hipposideridae.
GCAUGCUGCCUGCCGUCCUGCCCAUGUGGAAACAGCCUGAGUGCGUCUCUGGGCCUGGCAUCCUGGGUUGCUAGGCAACCCAGUGUGUCUGGGUGUGUCCCUUCAGCACUGGCUCUCCUGCUGACCUGUGGGUGCGGUCUGCAUGCUGGCUUCUGGGCUGUGACUGUCCCCUCGUGACCAGGCGUUCAUGGGAGAGUUGGCCACGUGAGCAACUGUGAUGGAAACCAAUUAAUUUUGCAGGCUCCUAAAUACUAACAUAAGAGGAUGGAGAAAAAGGUUUUCCCCAGUCACUGUCAAGUUUGAUCUGGAGGGGAGCAACGCUGGCGGUGCAUCCUUCAGGUGGGAGGGGACCAGCUGACCCCGGACCAGUUGGUGGUGGUCAGGAUGGAUCUGUGCUGUUUGCUUCCACCUGGUCACUGCAUCCGAGGACACUAUAAUUCUGCAACUGAGUUUCUAUCGCACAAAGCUAACUUAUACUAGAACCUCUUCCUUCGUCAGCCUCCUCAACGUGCUUCCAGCUGAAAGAAGGGCCCCACCAGGAAGGGUCACUGCCCCAAGCAGCAGGUCGGCUGGCCAUAGAGAGCAAGUGGGCUUGGGGACUUACUUUGGGGACUUCAACAUGGUCCGCAGCGCAGCCCUGAGCUCUGUGGGCCUGAGGGGAUCCCUUUUGGCAGGACACACACUAAACAAACCCAUCAAGCACAGAUGUAAAAACUUGAAUGCUAUCUUUUUGUUUCACAGAGAAGCCUGCCUGACCGACAAGAUACUCUGAUUGGGCAGGUCUCGACAGUCUCUGUCUAUCCCCUGACCUGGCACAUAUUACCAAAUGUGGACGGAAAAGGGGCCCCAGGUUAAACCUGACAAGCUCAGAUUGAAAAUAACCACAUAAGAUGGCGUGAGCAUAAAAAACUUUCAUAACCAAGUGGGCCAUGGUGGGAAGUCACAUCUUGAGCUUCCUUCAUAAAUUUGGUCUGUGCCUUUCCAGUGGGCCUGUGUUUUUCUGCACCUAAGAUAACAUCUUAGGAAUGUCAGUAAUCCUUUUUCUGG